RNAcentral lists this ribosomal RNA (253 nucleotides) under uncultured bacterium. Its description in RNAcentral is "partial 16S ribosomal RNA". It matches the Rfam family "Bacterial small subunit ribosomal RNA", at positions 524 to 776 of the family's 1533-position model. The record is from RNAcentral.
UACAGAGGGUGCGAGCGUUAAUCGGAUUUACUGGGCGUAAAGCGUGCGUAGACGGUUAUUUAAGUCGGAUGUGAAAGCCCCGGGCUCAACCUGGGAAUUGCAUUCGAGACUGAAUAGCUAGGGUACGGUAGAGGGAAGUGGAAUUUCCGGUGUAGCGGUGAAAUGCGUAGAUAUCGGAAGGAACAUCAGUGGCGAAAGCGACUUCCUGGACCAGUACCGACGUUCAGGCACGAAAGCGUGGGGAGCAAACAGG